GAUGAACGCUAGCGACAGGCCUAACACAUGCAAGUCGAGGGGCAGCACAAGGAGCAAUCUGAGGUGGCGACCGGCGCACGGGUGAGUAACAUAUCGGAACAUGUCCUAUCGUGGGGGAUAACUAGUCGAAAGAUUAGCUAAUACCGCAUACGUCCUGAGGGAGAAAGCGGGGGCUCGCAAGACCUCGCGCGAUUGGAGUGGCCGAUAUCUGAUUAGCUAGUUGGUGAGGUAAAGGCUCACCAAGGCGACGAUCAGUAGCUGGUCUGAGAGGAUGAUCAGCCACACUGGGACUGAGACACGGCCCAGACUCCUACGGGAGGCAGCAGUGAGGAAUAUUGGUCAAUGGACGCAAGUCUGAACCAGCCACGUCGCGUGAAGGAAGACGGCCCUACGGGUUGUAAACUUCUUUUGCAAGGGAAUAAAGUGGGCCACGUGUGGUCUUUUGCAAGUACCUUGCGAAUAAGGAUCGGCUAACUCCG
This 479-nucleotide ribosomal RNA is filed under the name uncultured bacterium. RNAcentral describes it as "bacterial SSU rRNA". It matches the Rfam family "Bacterial small subunit ribosomal RNA", at positions 28 to 505 of the family's 1533-position model. The record is from RNAcentral.